AGUCACUGACAUUAGAUACCCGUGUAGUCCAGGGUGUAAACGCUGCAGACUUGGUGUUGGGAACCCUUCGGGGGCGCUCAGUGCCGGAGAGAAGUUGUUAAGUCUGCUACUUGGGGAGUACGUCCGCAAGGAUGAAACUUAAAGGAAUUGGCGGGGGAGCACCGCAACGGGAGGAGCGUGCGGUUUAAUUGGAUUCAACGCCGAAAAACUCACCAGCAGCGACUGUUACAUGAAAGUCAGGUUGAUGACCUUACUAGAUUUUCAG
Molecule: ribosomal RNA, 265 nt
Filed under: uncultured archaeon
Lineage: Archaea
Description: partial 16S ribosomal RNA
Rfam family: Archaeal small subunit ribosomal RNA
Source: RNAcentral